UACGUAGGAUGCAAGCGUUGUCCGGAUUUAUUGGGUUUAAAGGGUGCGCAGGCGGCGUAUUAAGUUAUUGGUGAAAACGUUCGGCUUAACCGGAUACCCGCCAUUGAUACUGAUAGACUUGAGUGCGACAGAGGGUGUUGGAAUGUGUGGUGUAGCGGUGAAAUGCUUAGAUAUCACGCAGAACACCAAUUGCGAAGGCAGAUGCCUAUGUCGUAACUGACGCUGAGGCACGAAAGCGUGGGGAGCAAACAGG
Molecule: ribosomal RNA, 253 nt
Filed under: uncultured bacterium
Lineage: Bacteria
Description: partial 16S ribosomal RNA
Rfam family: Bacterial small subunit ribosomal RNA
Source: RNAcentral